CCUGCUCGGUCCCCACGGCCAGCGCCGCGGUGCGGGACCCGGCUCGGCGGCACCUGCUGCUUAGGGAGCCAGCGGCCCGGCCCCGUGCUCAUGAUGGGGCUGAUUUUCGCUAAAGUAUGGAGCCUCUUCUGUAAUCAAGCUCUUGUCAUCUUUGGUACCUGCCACCACCAUGAAGGGUUGCCCCUGUGCCACACCACCCUGCCUUGGAGCCAGCAGAGUACAGACUGAAACCUCCAAAUACUACACACAGCACCAAGAUUCUGGUGUGCAAAUAGGCUUGAAGAACAUCGGCUGUUAGGAGCCACUGAAAGGAAGAGAAUAAGGCAGCAUCUCCUGAGAAUCAGCCAUGCUGGAACUUGGGGGACCCACCAAAAAAGCAACGAGCCAUCCUUACUGCUAAGCACUGAGAGCUGCAGGCUCACCAGGGGGGAAAACAAGUCAGUGUCUCCUGUGGGCCUACGUGCAUGUGGGCCUAGAAUCAAACAUCCCACUCUGCACGCUGCCCCACCCAUUAGUCACUGGAUGGUGUUGAGGACAACCUGCUUUGAUAGCAACUAUGAUACAUAAAGCAACUAAGUGCUUGUAUGUUUGGUUUAUUAUGCUGACCUGCAGCCAGGGGUCUUAGCAUCUCUUGGGAGGAUGACUGUAUGCAAUAUGGCAAAUAGGGGGAUUUCCUUCUAUCUUGUCUUUGAAGGCAAAUAUUGCUUUCACUCUUUUGCUUUGUUCUGAUUGUUUUGCUGUGUUCAAUAUUCUGUUUGAUUGGUUUUAUAUUGCUCAGUCUUUGGUAUGAUUUUUAUAUACCUGAUUGAAUGGGCAACUAUUGUGAAGAAAACAAGGCAUACUAUGGUAGCUAUUAUUGCCAUCCCAGUAUCCUGCUCUGAAAUUCUGUACCAAUUUCACUGCAUUGUCUUGAUUUGCUUUGUUUUGUCUUGUUUUGCUAUAUUUUACUAUCUUUAAAAUGAAAAAUAAAUAAAUAUACAUAUAAAAACUGGAAAUUGAACACAUGUACAGGGCAGAUGCAAGCCUGGGGCAAGAUAAAGGCUGAGGACACCUGGCUCCAGCUCCAGUUAUGUAAGGACGGUAGCCACAGGCAUUUCACCCCUGUACUGAAAUGCAACAUGAGGGUCUUCUCCUAAGAUACUUACCCUUGUUAACAUCAUUUGCUACUUGCAAAGUCUUUGGACCACCCCCAGAUCUGUUCAUUUGCCUGGGUUUUCUACUCUAACCCCCUAAGUAAACAUGGGUGACCCAGAGACACUCCCUGUCUUAACCACUAGAGUCCCUGAAAUCUGUAGAGGGCUGUGAUCCUCCUGGAGCCCUAAAAGCAUACCACUUACCUCAUUUAGGUUAAGCCUUCACUGUACACUCAUUUGGGGGAUAUUGGAGAUCUAGGCCAGGUACCUGAUAACUGGUGCCUGGAACAGAAACCUGAAACCCUGGACUAGGAAUUGUAGCCUGAAGAAGUAAGCCCACCCUGAGUGGAAAGUCUGGGUAAGGAGGAGGUCUUCACAGGAUGAAAAACCUCACCGGGGACACCAGGAGAAGAGAGGGAAGAACAAGGCUGAGUCUUCCUGCUGUGAACAAGCUGUUUUAUCCAACAGUAAAACCAGAGCCAGGGAUGUAGCUCAGUGGCUGAGCAUCUGCCUGGCAAGCUCAAGGCCAUGAGUUCUAUUUCUAGAAACAAUAACAAAAAUAGGCAAAAGCGUUCAGCGGAGGAGCAAAGGUAUGUAUGGCUGCUCUAAGGCCUGCUUAAAGGUCCGAGGGUUUAUGUGCCAAACAAAAGACCUAGAAAAAGGUUAAAAGAAGUAACCAAAUAUAAUAUGUGGUUUCCUCAGAUAGGCACUAUACAUAUUCAUCAUUGGGAACGAGUUGAAAAAAAUCUUAAAAAGGCACGUAAUAGGGGAAAAAUCAUUUCCCCCUAAGAGGUUCUCAGUUUGGAACCCACUUCAUUCAGUUUCAAGUCUGUUACAGAGCGCUUACUCAGUGAAUUCUGAUUCAGACAUGGACAGGGUAAGAAGAAACAGCAGGGGAAGGGACACUUCUCAUUUGCACCGACAGGGGAGAGAAAUGAAUAGGUAGUGAAAGACAGAUGGGCUUGAGAGAAGCCAGAGACACAAACAGGCUACGAGAAUUCAAAGGGAAAACUGGCUUACAAUAACCAAGGGAAAAAAGUGUCUCUAUCUUACCAGUUGUUAGGAAUGGGACAAAUACAUUCUAAAGAAUCACAAAUGUAUAUGCAACUGUUUAUUGUAUGUUGGAUUCCAGUAUUUACUCUCCUUUUGUAGAUUUUGAUUAAAAGGUGUCUUGAUGA
Molecule: long non-coding RNA, 2311 nt
Organism: Cavia porcellus (domestic guinea pig)
Lineage: Eukaryota; Metazoa; Chordata; Mammalia; Rodentia; Caviidae
Exons: 3
Source: RefSeq, a predicted model, not a curated record